This 328-nucleotide small nuclear RNA is filed under the name Erinaceus europaeus (western European hedgehog). RNAcentral's name for it is "7SK RNA". It matches the Rfam family "7SK RNA". Rfam says of the family: 7SK was discovered as an abundant small nuclear RNA in the mid-70s but a possible function has only recently been suggested. Two independent studies have found that 7SK RNA binds the CDK9/cyclin T complex (known as elongation factor P-TEFb). P-TEFb activates transcription by phosphorylating the C-terminal domain of RNA polymerase II. Lineage: Eukaryota; Metazoa; Chordata; Mammalia; Eulipotyphla; Erinaceidae. The record is from Rfam by way of RNAcentral.
GGAUGUGAGGGUGAUCUGGCUGCAACAUCUGUCGCCCCAUUGAUCGCCAGGGUUGAUUGGGCUGAUCUGGCUGGCUAGUGACCCCUUCCUCCCUCACUGCUCCAUAUGUGUCCCUCCAGAAGCUGCACUCCUGGUCUGUUGAAGAGGAUGGCCCUUCCCUGAAUAGAGACAGACUGGUCUUUGUUUGAGGAUAUAUGAGUAGUUGUGCUCCCCUGCUAGAACCUCCAAACAAGAUCUCAAAGACUCUUUUCUUCAGCUCACUGAAGUGUUUUCAGUUUCCUUUCCUUCACACAUGUACUCCUUAUAGAUGGCCAAGAGGCCUGAGGGG